This 154-nucleotide ribosomal RNA is filed under the name uncultured bacterium. Its description in RNAcentral is "partial 16S ribosomal RNA". It matches the Rfam family "Bacterial small subunit ribosomal RNA", at positions 1345 to 1500 of the family's 1533-position model. The record is from RNAcentral.
CAGGUCAGCAUACUGCCGUGAAUACGUUCCCGGGCCUUGUACACACCGCCCGUCACACCAUGAGAGUUGGGAAUACCCGAAGCCUGUGAGCCAACAAUCGAGGCAGCAGUCGAAGGUAGAAUCAAUGAUUGGGGUGAAGUCGUAACAAGGUAAC